Eublepharis macularius is the source of this 102-nucleotide small nuclear RNA. The record is from RefSeq and is a predicted model, not a curated record. NCBI's taxonomy places the organism in Eukaryota, Metazoa, Chordata, Lepidosauria, Squamata, Eublepharidae.
AAAAGUUUCAUCCUAUAGACCAAAAUGUGAACAAUACAGAGAAGAUGAACAUGGCCCAUGUAUAAAGGUGAUAGACAAAAUCAGGAACCAUUCCAUAUUAGU